Long non-coding RNA from Octopus sinensis (East Asian common octopus), 91 nucleotides. RefSeq lists it as uncharacterized. The record is from RefSeq and is a predicted model, not a curated record. Lineage: Eukaryota; Metazoa; Mollusca; Cephalopoda; Octopoda; Octopodidae. The transcript is spliced from 3 exons.
UGAUGCUCAGUCAUCUCAAUUACUGUUACAUACUGUGCACAAAGCUUUUUCCAUUGAAAAAUUCAAAUGCAGAGGAAUGGCUAGCAGCAAA